AAAAAGGCAAACCCUGGGUUUCCGUAUCCAAUUUUAACGGUCUGUCUUAUAUGAAAUUUUUUUAUAAUUCGUAUUUUCAUUAUUGUUAGAUGAUAAAACAUGAUUAAUAUUUUAUGCGUGACUUGUCUUUUUAAUAUUUUUUAUAAUUUUUUUAAAUAAGACGGACGGUCAAACGUUGGGCACGAAAACCAGAGUUUAUU
This is a non-coding RNA of Oryza glumipatula, 200 nucleotides long. NCBI's taxonomy places the organism in Eukaryota, Viridiplantae, Streptophyta, Magnoliopsida, Poales, Poaceae. The record is from Rfam.